Scenedesmus sp. NREL 46B-D3 is the source of this 72-nucleotide non-coding RNA. The record is from the annotation of a GenBank genome assembly. Lineage: Eukaryota; Viridiplantae; Chlorophyta; Chlorophyceae; Sphaeropleales; Scenedesmaceae.
GGGUUUAUAGCUCAGUGGUAGAGCAAGCGCCUGCAGAGCGCUAGGUCCCGCGUUCGAACCGCGGUGGGCCCU